This 497-nucleotide ribosomal RNA is filed under the name uncultured bacterium. Its description in RNAcentral is "partial 16S ribosomal RNA". It matches the Rfam family "Bacterial small subunit ribosomal RNA", at positions 28 to 507 of the family's 1533-position model. The record is from RNAcentral.
GAUGAACGCUGGCGGCGUGCCUAAUACAUGCAAGUCGAGCGAACAGAUGAGGAGCUUGCUCCUCUGACGUUAGCGGCGGACGGGUGAGUAACACGUGGAUAACCUACCUAUAAGACUGGGAUAACUUCGGGAAACCGGAGCUAAUACCGGAUAAUAUAUUGAACCGCAUGGUUCAAUAGUGAAAGACGGUUUUGCUGUCACUUAUAGAUGGAUCCGCGCCGCAUUGGCUAGUUGGUAAGGUAACGGCUUACCAAGGCAACGAUGCGUAGCCGACCUGAGAGGGUGAUCGGCCACACUGGAACUGAGACACGGUCCAGACUCCUACGGGAGGCAGCAGUAGGGAAUCUUCCGCAAUGGGCGAAAGCUUGACGGAGCAACGCCGCGUGAGUGAUGAAGGUCUUCGGAUCGUAAAACUCUGUUAUUAGGGAAGAACAAAUGUGUAAGUAACUAUGCAUGUCUUGACGGUACCUAAUCAGAAAGCCACGGCUAACUACGUG